This is a long non-coding RNA of Gasterosteus aculeatus aculeatus (three-spined stickleback), 2523 nucleotides long. The record is from Ensembl. Lineage: Eukaryota; Metazoa; Chordata; Actinopteri; Perciformes; Gasterosteidae.
CACGCAGCGCCGCUGGUUGUUGUGGUCGACUUGUUUGGUUUCCUGGAAGGUGCAAAGCCUCCACCAGCAGGAGGGGGACGCGGCGCGCCUGGCAAAGCAUCUGAGAUUGUGUCGGAGUGGAGCGCAGCGGGAGGCUGAUGAAUGUAGCGGGAAAAACACGUCCCCAUUGUUACGGAAUCAUUUUUUUUUUUUGCCUUUUCAGAGUUUUAUGUGGAUUCAAGCUGUGAUUUUAAAUAUUCAUAUCAUUUGCCGAGAUCCUGCGUUUACCGCCGAGGACGUCUCGGUUUCCAGAGGGUGUGGAUUUGCAACGGGACAAUAAACCCGCCGCCUCCGGGGGAAACGAGUCCGCUUGUAUUAAUACUUUCUGUGCGGGUUGCUGUGGGACGGUUGCCGUUUCGCCGCAUCGCCGCAGGAACCCGUUAAAAACCCACCAAAGGGAACAACAUAAGAAUGUAUUUAGGAUGAGGCAGCCAGCAGCACCGGAGUCCCGUUAGGUCUCUGUGUCCGUCCCCGUCCCUCGGCGGUGUUCAUCUACGAAGCAUAAGCAUUUUAUCGCCGUCCUUUGCGUUUCCUUCCGGGGGGGGGUGGGCGGCCUCGCCAGGAGUCUCCUUUGUGCCUCGCCUCCCCUCGCAGGGCGAGCGGUCCCUUUUGUUUCCACCGUCAUUGUUUCAGAAUCGCCCUGUCGGCCAUUUUUUCCCUCGAGGCCGACCGUUGGAUAAAAGGACAUCAUCUCCCGCCGUGGUCUUCUGCUCACGUGUGACAGCAAAGAAUGAGCAAAAAGAGAAACAAUACUUAAGAACUCUGGUAUUGUUCUUUACCUCGUUUCCCAGGGGCACCGUUAUAUAUUUUGCUGGGCCCGUUCAAGGUUGCUGAGAUGAUUAAAAAGGGUGGAGAAGAAACACCGGCCGCUACAUGUUUGCCGUCACAUAAUUAACUCACUUUUCAAUGUACCGGACCGAGGUUUAUGAAAUGAAAAGUCAGCAGCGUCAGCUUUUAGUAACGAGGGAUCAAACUUCAUUCAUGCUUGUUUGCAGAGAGUCUCAGUGCUGCAGCAGAACCCGGAUAGUCGAUGUGUUCCACUUAAUUGUUUGUAAAACUUACUGUUGUAAGCAGUAAGCAGCGGAGACGAUGCACAGAACAAGUUUCGGUGCUCAACUUCCUCUAAAACUCUGAACAAAGUCAGUUAACGGAAUAGAACAUAUAUAAUAACAUCGCUACCGGUCUGCUCACGCGAUCAUGUGCUUCAAUGUCCACCUGCAGAUAGUGGAGAGUACAUUCCUGCAUGCAUGUAUGCACGCAUGCAAAUGCAUCGGAUGCUAAUAUUAGCGUUGCAGAUUUUAUAUGGGAAAGAGCAGGAAAGUGAACCCUUCGCUCCCUGACUUGAUGAAGACACAGUAGAGAAUAGAUUAGAUGGUCACCUGACCACCCGUAUGCUUGUUUUUGUAACGCUUAGUCCAUUCAGCCGAUUUCCCCUCACAUAUGUCUUUAAUGGAUCCUAAAAAUGUGAAAACGCGCGACGCCCGCUGUGAGCACUGUUGUUCAACCACCUCAGGAUAGCAAACGAUGUCAGAUCAUCUCCUUUUAUAGAGUGUUAAACUAAAGCUAAUCGACCAUUGUAGUGAAAAAUCCCCAUUGUCAAGGCCGUCCAAACGAAAGGACGUCUCCUCACCACGGCCUCCCUGCAGGUCGCUGCGUCCUUGUCUUCUCACACAUGCACAGCAGAGAGACAUCCUGUAUACAUCCAGUGCCUCAUCUAUACUUGCUUUGCAUAAUAUUUGAAUAUGUUUUUGGGUGCUGUGGGAUUUUAUGCAUGAAUUUUAAAUUCAGUGGUUUUGAAUGCAAACGGUUCAAUGUGUCGUCUCCCAGGCAACACUUUGUUUGAUUCAUUUUGCUUCAUAUUUUGUCCUGGAAGCUAUUCAAUUAAUCCAUUAGUUAUUUAAUUGGAAUUUUCCGUGUAAAAAAAAUAAAAUAAAAUGUUGUUCAACAUAAAACAUUUUUAGGUGAAUUCAGGUCAUAUUAUAAACGAGGAAGAGGUCUGUUUGUGUGCAGACUCCUUUAUCAUCAAUGCAUCUCACAUUCAAUGUGACCACGGAUAAUUAUUUUCACGUCCAGCGCAGAAGUUGACUGAUUGAAGUGUCUCAUCUCCUGGUGAAGAGGAUCUCAGCUGGACUGGAGACACGACGAGGACACACUCGUCACGUCCCCAGUCCACCUGUGGGAGCAUCUCCUGCUCUUUUUGUGUGUGUGUGUGUGUGUGUGUGCACGCUCAGGCCUUGCUGUCCAUACACCUUAUUUAAUAUUCAUAUGCAUGUUCUGCUGUGCCACUGCGAUGCAUCAGAAUACGUGUAUUCUAAGCUAUUCGUAUUUCUCAGGCCAACGAACGUGAACGCUUAAAUCCGCGUGUAUGAGCAGCAGUUUGUGGCUCACGUCCACCUCCGGAUGAACUUUUCACAGCACCUCCCGUGAGCUCAAAUCCAUAUUUAGCUGGUCCUCCACGGACCUGAAAUAAACAGUAAAUGUCGU